Prionailurus viverrinus (fishing cat) is the source of this 651-nucleotide long non-coding RNA. RefSeq lists it as uncharacterized. The record is from RefSeq and is a predicted model, not a curated record. The transcript has 2 exons. NCBI's taxonomy places the organism in Eukaryota, Metazoa, Chordata, Mammalia, Carnivora, Felidae.
AGUUGGAUGCUUAACCGACUUAGUCACCCAGGUACCCCUGUUCUACUGACAUUCUUGACAUUCUCCCUCUCUUCCUCUGCUCUGAACCAGCCACACUCUUUCCAAAUGUUGUCUGUUCUACCUUCAAAACAGGCCCCUAAUUCAUCCACUUCUUUCCAUCCCCUUGUCCUCACUCUAGGUCACCAUCAUGUCUCAACUGUACCCCCUCACUUCCUCUUUGCUGCCGGCCUCGUCUGUCCUUUCAACAAAAGCCAGAAGAACCUCAAACAAACACAUGUCCACUAAAGGUCUUCACUUGUGUUGUUUCCUCUGCUUAAAACACUUUUCCUUCCACUUCACACCUGUGAGAUUACUUAUCUGUUGUGGACUGAAUGUGUCCACCCCCCCAAAAUCCGCAUGUUAAAACCCUACCCUCCAAUGUGAUGGUAUUAGGAGGAGGAGGUGGGGCCUUUGGGAGGUGGCUAGAAUUAGAUGAGGUCGUGAAGACGGGGCUUGCCUCCUCUCCGGCUUUUUGCCAUGUGAGGACACGAGAAGUUGGCUGUGUCUAACCCGGAAGAAGAUCCUCCUCAGAACACGACCAUGCUGGCACCCUGAUCUUGGACUUCCAAUUUCCAGAACUAUGAGAAAUAAAUUUCUGUUGUUUAUAAGCCA